This 512-nucleotide ribosomal RNA is filed under the name uncultured bacterium. RNAcentral's name for it is "bacterial SSU rRNA". It matches the Rfam family "Bacterial small subunit ribosomal RNA", at positions 28 to 526 of the family's 1533-position model. The record is from RNAcentral.
GACGAACGCUGGCGGCGUGCUUAACACAUGCAAGUGGAGCGACGAACCAGGGCUUGCCCUGGGGCAGAGCCGCGAACGGGUGAGUAACACGUGGGUAACCUGCCCCGAUGACCGGGACAACCCGAGGAAACUCGGGCUAAUACCGGAUGAAUUCGCAGAGCACAAGCUUUGUGAGAAAAGGUAGCUUCGGCUUCCGCAUUGGGAUGGGCCCGCGGCCCAUUAGCUUGUUGGUGAGGUAACGGCUCACCAAGGCGACGAUGGGUAGCUGGUCUGAGAGGACGAUCAGCCACACUGGGACUGAGACACGGCCCAGACUCCUACGGGAGGCAGCAGUGGGGAAUCUUGCGCAAUGCGCGAAAGCGUGACGCAGCAACGCCGCGUGCGGGAAGACGGCCCUCGGGUUGUAAACCGCUUUCAGUUGGGACGAAGCCUGUCUGGUGAAUAGCCAGUGCAGGUGACGGUACCUUCAGAAGAAGCUCCGGCUAACUACGUGCCAGCAGCCGCCGUAAGAC